Molecule: ribosomal RNA, 301 nt
Filed under: uncultured bacterium
Lineage: Bacteria
Description: partial 16S ribosomal RNA
Rfam family: Bacterial small subunit ribosomal RNA
Source: RNAcentral
CAGUCGCCGCGGUAAUACGAGGGGGGCAAGCGUUGUUCGGAAUUAUUGGGCGUAAAGGGUGCGUAGGCGGUUUCGUAAGUCUGAUGUGAAAUCUAUGGGCUCAACCCAUAGUCUGCAUCGGAAACUGCGAGGCUUGAGAGUGGGAGAGGUGAGUGGAAUUUCCGGUGUAGCGGUGAAAUGCGUAGAUAUCGGAAGGAACACCUGUGGCGAAAGCGGCUCACUGGACCAUUUCUGACGCUGAUGCACGAAAGCUAGGGGAGCAAACAGGAUUAGAUACCCGGGUAGUCCCUGUCUCUUAUAC